AUCCCUGUAACGCAAUAGAUAGCGCAUUGGACUUCUAAUCCAAAGGUCGUGGGUCGAAUUCCACCUGGGAUG
RNAcentral lists this transfer RNA (72 nucleotides) under Trichonephila inaurata madagascariensis. It matches the Rfam family "tRNA". From Rfam's summary of the family: Transfer RNA (tRNA) molecules are approximately 80 nucleotides in length. Their secondary structure includes four short double-helical elements and three loops (D, anti-codon, and T loops). Lineage: Eukaryota; Metazoa; Arthropoda; Arachnida; Araneae; Nephilidae. The record is from Rfam by way of RNAcentral.